GCCUACAACCAGAUUAUAGAGGGUAGUUAUUUAUCACUUCAAGUGAGAUCUUUCUAAUUUAUCAUUCUUUAUUAUCAUUGUUUGUUGUCGAAAUUAUUAAUAUUGAGAUAUCUAUUGUAUAUGUCCUACUUGUGACUAUGGAGAACUCAUUGUAGUUUUUUACUCAAUUUUUUCACAUUAAAAUUAAUUGUGUCCUUGUUCGAUUAUUAUUAUUGUUUUUAGUUGUUUAAUUUCCUAUUAAGUUCACACGAGAGGAGAGGAGAUAAUUAUCCCAACACUUAAGACAUUUAAGAUGACUUAAAUUUAAAGACUUUUUGAUGAUGAGAAGUACCCAUUGUGCCCCUCUUUAAAAAUACCUCUCAUUCAUCUUUUUCUCGACCACAUAAAAUUCUCAUUUUCUUCAUUCCUCCUUCAACUUCUAUCUUCUUUCUCUCUAGCUCCUCUCUUCAUCAUCCUAAAUUUCAAGUUUCUCUCAGCCUCAUUCUCUUGUGUGAUUACCGUUUUGUUUUUAUUAUUAUCAUAAAUUGUUUAGUCUCUUACUCUCAUUCAUAGUGUAGAGAUAGGUCAGAUUCUCUUUCAUUUUUGUCAUGUUUUGGACUAUUAUCUCAUCUUUGUUAGGUUUUAUUUUAUUUUGCAAUAUUAUUAAAAAAAAUUAUGCAAUGUGUUAAUUGAUUUUCCCCCUGAAAUAUUUAUCAGGGGUUCUUUUUCGUUGCAAACAAGAAAAAGUGUUUACAGUACAUACAGUACAUGACUUUUGAAAGUGUUGAACUGUUUCUCAAGAUAAUUGCUAGAUAAAUUACAGCAUCUUAAUAUAUAAGUGGUUGUGGCUGGAACAUUACAGAUUGUAUGAUUGUUUAAGAAUGACCCGUGUUUGAUUUUAGUUUGGUAUUGUGGAGUAUGAGAUGACGAGUGAGAAUACCAUCAAUUGGUGAAACUCUCACAUUGCAUAAAUGAGACAAUGUCACCAAAAAGACCAUAAUAGAUUAAUAUGUCACAAUCCUAUUGCACGCACAAGAACCCACUUAUACAAGAUUUAAUGGAUACAAUAACAUUAUAACCGCUUGGAUCUUGAACUCUCUUUCGAAGGAAAACUCUGCUAAUGUCAAUUGCAUUGAUUCGGCUAGAGAAAUUUGGCUUAAUCUAGGAAGAAUUGAUCUUGUAUUUUUCAACUUCGUCGUAAGUUCUCGAUUUUGGUUCAAGAUCAGAACUCUAUUACGACAUAUUUUGCGAAGUUGAAGACUCUAGUCUCUGGAAUGAACUCACUUCUAAUCGUCCGGUAUGUUCGUGAAGAUGUUAUUCUCAUGACAGUGUGAAAGAUCUGAUUGAAUAUUUUCAAAACAAAGCACACCAUAGCCUUUUUUAUGGUUUGAAUGAUUUCUUUGCUCAUUUGCACUCAAUUACUCUUUAUCGAGCUUGAGCUCACUAUUUAGAGGGCUUUCUCUUUAGUUGUUCAAUAUGUGGAACAGCGACCAGCGAUCUCUACUUCUACUCCUACAAUAACUAAUGUUGCUACUCUUUUGGUGAAGUCCUUGACAGAUUUCUCUCGACCUUAGUCAUAAACCAACAAGAAGGAGAAAAGCGUCUUCUCUAUACUUCUUGCAAUAUCCUCCAUCACAUAAGAGAUUGCUACUACAAAGUCCAUGGUUAUCCAUUUGGCUAUUUCUCUUUGAAGAGUUCUUUUGCUAAAUUUGAAGGUUUUGCAACAUUCAUUACUAAACCUGAAGAAACUCUGACUUCCUUAAGUUAUGAACAAUGUCAAGGCAUAUUGGCUUGUUGCAGUCUCAUCUUGUGAAGUCAAAGUUGUUUAUCAAUGAUUAUGCUACUAGAAUUCAUGUAUGGACAAGUUUUCUUUGAAGAUGACUAGCAAGGUUGAUCUUUGGCAAGGUUUGUAUCUGAUUGAAGCUGAUUUUCUCAAGUAUCCGAAGUCAAUAAAGGGAGCUUCUUAUUCAUCUCUUGUUAGCGUUAUUAUUUUUCUUGUAAUUUCUCACAUAUUUGGCAUACUAGAUUUGAUCAUUCGUCUAUAAAACACUUGAAUGCUUGAUGUUUUGUCUAAUUUUUUUUAAAGAUGAUCAUUCUCAACCA
Long non-coding RNA from Benincasa hispida (wax gourd), 2082 nucleotides. RefSeq lists it as uncharacterized. NCBI's taxonomy places the organism in Eukaryota, Viridiplantae, Streptophyta, Magnoliopsida, Cucurbitales, Cucurbitaceae. The record is from RefSeq and is a predicted model, not a curated record.